Molecule: ribosomal RNA, 787 nt
Filed under: uncultured Bacteroidota bacterium
Lineage: Bacteria; Pseudomonadati; Bacteroidota
Description: bacterial SSU rRNA
Rfam family: Bacterial small subunit ribosomal RNA
Source: RNAcentral
GCUAAUUUGAGACCGGCGCACGGGUGCGUAACGCGUAUGCAAUCUACCUUGUACAGGGGGAUAGCCCAGAGAAAUUUGGAUUAAUACCCCAUGGUAUAAUUAAUUUGCAUGAAUUGAUUAUUAAAGUUCCAACGGUACAAGAUGAGCAUGCGUCCCAUUAGCUAGUUGGUGUGGUAACGGCAUACCAAGGCGACGAUGGGUAGGGGUCCUGAGAGGGAGAUCCCCCACACUGGUACUGAGACACGGACCAGACUCCUACGGGAGGCAGCAGUGAGGAAUAUUGGUCAAUGGUCGGAAGACUGAACCAGCCAUGCCGCGUGCAGGAAGAGGCAUCUAUGGUGUGUAAACUGCUUUUGUACGGGAAGAAACACUCCUACGUGUAGGAGCUUGACGGUACCGUAAGAAUAAGGAUCGGCUAACUCCGUGCCAGCAGCCGCGGUAAUACGGAGGAUCCAAGCGUUAUCCGGAAUCAUUGGGUUUAAAGGGUCCGUAGGCGGUUAGAUAAGUCAGUGGUGAAAUCCGGCAGCUUAACUGUCGAACUGCCAUUGAUACUGUUUAACUUGAAUUACUGUGAAGUAACUAGAAUAUGUAGUGUAGCGGUGAAAUGCUUAGAUAUUACAUGGAAUACCAAUUGCGAAGGCAGGUUACUAAUGGUUUAUUGACGCUGAUGGACGAAAGCGUGGGGAGCGAACAGGAUUAGAUACCCUGGUAGUCCACGCUGUAAACGAUGGAUACUAGCUGUUGGGAGUAAUUUCAGUGGCUAAGCGAAAGUGAUAAGUAUCCCACC